Triplophysa dalaica is the source of this 1556-nucleotide long non-coding RNA. RefSeq lists it as uncharacterized. Lineage: Eukaryota; Metazoa; Chordata; Actinopteri; Cypriniformes; Nemacheilidae. The transcript has 7 exons. The record is from RefSeq and is a predicted model, not a curated record.
CACUCUCUCCCGUCCAGCUGGUGGCGGUAAAUGCAGCGCUUGAGCUGGUUUGCCAUUCGCCAUAAAACAUCUAAAGAAAACGACGUCACUGUCGGCCACGCGCCGCUUGCGCGUUCUUUCUGUCUCGAGGGCGCGAUGUGCACGGCAGCAGAUGCGUAUCUCCUGCAGGUCACUCACAUUGCUUGUGUAGUCCGGUGACAUCACUUCCUGUGCGUGUGUCAUCACUUCCUGUGCGUGUGUCAUCACUUCCUCUGCAGGACUGACUGAAGAUCCCACACAUGUGCAGCAUGACAUCGGCUAAACAUGCAGUAAACUCUACAUAUUUGAUGAAGAAUGUUGCUGUUUUGUUGUGUUUGGGACAGAUCAUGUGAAAUCGAGCGCUCAACCCAAGGAUGUGAUCACAUGACUCCUCAUCCUCUUGUCUUUACGUUUCCAUAGAUGUUUGAGGGAAUCAUGGGAAAUGUCCUCCUCCUAUCAGCCUGACCAGUGUUCACGUGUGGCCUGUAGAGCAUCAUGAGAGAAAGUGAAGCACAUGAUUGCGGCUGUAGAUCUCCUGCAGGUCACUCACAUUGCUUGUGUAGUCCGGUGACAUCACUUCCUGUGCGUGUGUCAUCACUUCCUCUGCAGGUGAGCAGCUAUAAACCGAAGGUCUCGUUCUAUUCUACACUGGUGUGUUUGUACUCCGAUGAAGCGAGACUAGAGUCACGUCUUGAUAUUGUGAUUAUCCUGGUGUGCUUAAGUCCUCGCAGAAUAAACUCUCUGCUUAUUCAUUGGCUGCUGCUUCUCAUUGCCCGGCCAAUCACCAGCUCAGAAACAUGUUUUACACGUCUGUUCAGAGUUUGAAGACAUUAAUACAUGACAUGACCUUCCGCUGAUUCUAGAAAAACAAUAUUUCACAAAUCUUCAUGAAGGAUUUGCAUCUGAAGACACCAAACAUCAACCAUGUAAUGUGUAUGCAGGGUUCGGGAGGAACCCUGUUACUGUAAUUUUACUAAGUAAAGUUUUCUAUCCAGAUUACAAUUGUUUCAAAACUGAAGUUGUUUUAAAGUGUGUUUGAGUUGUGCAACCAAUUUCUAUAUACAAUGUUAUAUUGCUUCUCUGCUUGUUUUGUGUACAUUGCCUAUAAAAAUAAGUAUGUUUACAAUGUAUUGUGUUAAUUGACAUUAAUAGUCAAUAAUCAAACAUAAUCGUUUCGUUUUAAUCUAGCAGCAAGUUCCUGUUUAUCUCAAUUUCAUCUGAUAUUCUGUCACCAAGACUGUUUUGACGCCGCCUCGCUUCUGUGUGGAUGAAAAAUCAUGUAAUUUACAUGUGACUCUUAAAGUAAUCGGAAUACAUUACUUUUAUAGUGUGAUACUUAAUCAGUAACAUAAUUUGUAACUGUACUGGAAUGUUUUUUUUUUUAAAUAAUCCUCCCAACCCUGUGUAUAUAUCUGUGGAAUAGUGCAGUGAUUUAUAUUUUUGACUAUUGAAAUAAUCUCGAAAAACUAUUGAACAACGGUCUCAUUUUUAAAUAAUCUUCAAUAAAAGCUACAGCAAGAGCUGUUUUAGACCCCAAA